Molecule: ribosomal RNA, 267 nt
Filed under: uncultured prokaryote
Description: partial 16S ribosomal RNA
Rfam family: Bacterial small subunit ribosomal RNA
Source: RNAcentral
UACGUAGGGGCGAGCGUUGUCCGGAAUUAUUGGGCGUAAGGGCGCGCAGGCGGCCGAUUAAGUCGGAUGUGAAAGGCCACGGCUCAACCGUGGAGUUGCAUCCGAAACUGGUUGGCUUGAGUGCAGGAGAGGAGAGCGGAAUUCCCGGUGUAGCGGUGAAAUGCGUAGAGAUUAGGAAGAACACCAGUGGCGAAGGCGAUUCUCUGGACUGUAACUGACGCUGAGGCUCGAAAGCGUGGGGAGCAAACAGGAUUAGAUACCCGCGUA